UACGUAGGGGGCAAGCGUUGUCCGGAAUCAUUGGGCGUAAAGCGCGUGUAGGCGGUCCGAUAAGUUCGCUGUGAAAGUCGGGGGCUUAACCCUCGGAUGCCGGUGAAUACUGUCGGGCUUGAGUACGGAAGAGGCGAGUGGAAUUCCUGGUGUAGCGGUGAAAUGCGCAGAUAUCAGGAGGAACACCAAUUGCGAAGGCAGCUCGCUGGGACGUUACUGACGCUGAGACGCGAAAGCGUGGGGGAGCAAACAGG
Molecule: ribosomal RNA, 254 nt
Filed under: uncultured bacterium
Lineage: Bacteria
Description: partial 16S ribosomal RNA
Rfam family: Bacterial small subunit ribosomal RNA
Source: RNAcentral